AUUGAACGCUGGCGGCAGGCCUAACACAUGCAAGUCGAGCGGAUGAAGGGAGCUUGCUCCUGGAUUCAGCGGCGGACGGGUGAGUAAUGCCUAGGAAUCUGCCUGGUAGUGGGGGAUAACGUCCGGAAACGGGCGCUAAUACCGCAUACGUCCUGAGGGAGAAAGGGGGGGAUCUUCGGACCUCACGCUAUCAGAUGAGCCUAGGUCGGAUUAGCUAGUUGGUGGGGUAAAGGCCUACCAAGGCGACGAUCCGUAACUGGUCUGAGAGGAUGAUCAGUCACACUGGAACUGAGACACGGUCCAGACUCCUACGGGAGGCAGCAGUGGGGAAUAUUCGACAAUGGGCGAAAGCCUGAUCCAGCCAUGCCGCGUGUGUGAAGAAGGUCUUCGGAUUGUAAAGCACUUUAAGUUGGGAGGAAGGGCAGUAAGUUAAUACCGUGCUGUUUUGACGUUACCAACAGAAUAAGCACCGGCUAACUUCGUG
This 484-nucleotide ribosomal RNA is filed under the name uncultured bacterium. RNAcentral's name for it is "partial 16S ribosomal RNA". It matches the Rfam family "Bacterial small subunit ribosomal RNA", at positions 30 to 507 of the family's 1533-position model. The record is from RNAcentral.